This 489-nucleotide ribosomal RNA is filed under the name uncultured bacterium. Its description in RNAcentral is "partial 16S ribosomal RNA". It matches the Rfam family "Bacterial small subunit ribosomal RNA", at positions 28 to 507 of the family's 1533-position model. The record is from RNAcentral.
GAUGAACGCUAGCGGGAGGCCUAACACAUGCAAGCCGAGCGGGAUUUGUUGGUUAGCUUGCUAACUAACAAUGAGAGCGGCGUACGGGUGCGUAGCACGUGUGCAACCUGCCUUUAUCUGGGGGAUAGCCUUUCGAAAGGAAGAUUAAUACCCCAUAACAUAUUGAUUGGCAUCAGUUAAUAUUGAAAGCUCCGGCGGAUAGAGAUGGGCACGCGUAAGAUUAGCUAGUUGGUGAGGUAACGGCUCACCAAGGCUGCGAUCUUUAGGGGGCCUGAGAGGGUGAUACACCACACUGGUACUGAGACACGGACCAGACUCCUACGGGAGGCAGCAGUGAGGAAUAUUAGACAAUGGGUGAGAGCCUGAUCCAGCCAUCCCGCGUGAAGGACUAAGGACCUAUGGUUUGUAAACUUCUUUUAGACAGGGAUAAACCUACUCUCGUGAGGGUAGCUGAAGGUACUGUAUGAAUAAGCACCGGCUAACUCCGUG